Clupea harengus (Atlantic herring) is the source of this 7533-nucleotide long non-coding RNA. NCBI's taxonomy places the organism in Eukaryota, Metazoa, Chordata, Actinopteri, Clupeiformes, Clupeidae. The record is from Ensembl.
GACUGCACUGCCUGCUCACACACACACACACACACACACACACACACACACACACACACACACACACACACAUACACACACACACACACACACACUCACACAGAGGAGGUGCCCGGACUUAAGAGUUGCUCUGAGAAUCAGUCAGCCUUUGCCUGGAGAAGGGAGAGGAAGCAUCGUUCCUCGUUCAUUCACUCAGUGACACACACACACACACACACACACACACACACACACACACACACACACACACACACACACACACACUCAUUUCUAGUACUAAGCUCAACCUGGAAUGUGUGGCUAAGAAUGAUUUCAGUGGGAGAGAAGCUGACAGCAUAAGAUGUAGAUGCCGAUGGAUUUGGACUGGAUUUGCCAUUUGGAUUUGCAUGAUGGUUGCCAGGUCCACGUCACAAAUCCCCCCCUCUGUUUGACCACUGAAAGAUGUUCACUGACGUUUCAGAAAAGGGAGAAGCUCACUUUGCCCUCAAGGACCCUCAACACUGCAGGAUUACUACACACUUUAUGGCAAGCCCCAAAAGGUCUGUGCCCAGGUGAGUGUGCACCUGUCUCAACUGCCAUAUACUCCCAAACUCACACGCACACACACACACACACACACACGCGCACGCACACACACACACACACACACACUGGAGCAGAUCUUCCUAUGCUGCCAAUGGAUGUUACUGUAUCGUAUAUGAAUGAGUUUGCUGACACACCUCCUGCUAACAACAUAACCUGUUGGCACACUUCUUUUAUAUUAUCCAUAAUUCUAGCGUGUUAUAUGGCUGGAGAUUGUUUUUGUCUAACUGGCUAGUUCUCUUCUAUUGUGUUCUCUGUGUGUUUCUGUGUGUGGGCUGAUCUCUGUGUGCUUGUGUGAGUGCUCUGCUCAGACUGGCGCCUGCCCUGACAGAAGAGCUUCCAGCAGCGCUGAAGGUGUGCACUUGGCUCCUCCACUGUCACCUCCAUGCUGUGCCAUGGUAACGCCGAUGUUUGUUUGAGUUGAUAGAGUCACUUCCUCACCCAACCAGUCAUGCACAUGCUGAGCUCUUCCAGCUGUCCCUCUCUCUCUCUCUCUCUCUCUCUCUCUGUGUGUGUGUGUGUGUGUGUGUGUGUGUGUGUGUGUGUAUGUGUGUGUGUGCGCAAAUGCAUCCAUAGAGCUCAUGUUUGUAUGAGAAUAUAUAUCAGAAUAUAUUUUCGUGUGUGUACUUGUGUAAUGUGUGUGCGUUUGUAAGUUCAUGUUUGGAUGGAUGUGUGUGUUUUUUGUGAGUGAGUAUUUGUGUAUGUGAGUGUGUGUGUAUGUGUAUGUAUAUAUACACACAUAGUUUGUGUGUGUUUGGGAGGGGGGGGUAUUCUUGUCUUCACCUUACAUUGUGUGGUUGCAGCACUGCCUUGGUCCGUCCCCCAAAGUCUUCCCCGGGAAGCUGGUUUCAGAUGGUGGAUUAGAUGUACGCUUCUCUGGUCUAGCACCAUUUGAAAUCAGUGUUCCCGGGGGCAGAAGAGCAUCUGUGACACAGGGGUCACCAAGAGGUCAAGACAGGGUCAUUCACAGCCUACACGUGGAUCACACAAUCACAAGGACUGGAUAUACAGACAAAAUAAAAAAUACCACACCAUAAAAAUAUUACACCAAUUUCCACUCCACAGGAUUAGAAAUAUCUAUGGUUCCUACACAACUGAAGUGUAUCCGUAUGACAUUCAUUUGAUGUUAUUGGUUUCCUUGCCUGUAGGGAUUCUGUAUAACACAGGGCUGGAGUGGUGAUAUGUAAACUGGGUAGUCUUACUGAAGGUGGCAGUGAAAGAACAAAUUAGCCUAGCUUGCAAAUGAGUGCAUAAGUUACAGUGCUGUCAUUAAUUACUGUGCAUGACCUGCUAUGUAAGCAUGGUUGCUGUAUAGCCUUGCGGUGAGAGAGCCAACUACACGCACAAAUUGGACUAAAAAACAGACACAAAGGUCAUUAUCUUUUGAUGAAUGUGUGCUACCUCAAAUAUAUCCCCAUCCAGCAACGUACCACAGGCAAUAUUUUAGUGUGCAAGGCCAUGGGUAACAAGAGGCAACACACACACACACACACACACACAAACACAAGCUCUCUGCCUCCCUCUCCCACCCUGACAUUUCUCCCCCCACCUAAAGAUGACUGAUUUCCUCUGGUGUUUAGAGCCGCCUUGCCUUCUAGCACCAUUUGAAAUCGGUUAUGAUGACUGGGGAUCAAUGCUGCAGUGCAAACCUACCGGCACACGGGAGAGAGGGGCGAUCACAGGGACAGACUUCAGAGCUACAACAGCAGAGCUACAAUACAGACUUCAGAGCUACUUUGUGGGAAUAGCUGAAAUGUAUAGGAAUGAUUAUUUUUAAAGCAACUAUCAUCCUACCACAGAUAAUAAGGCUGUAUCUCUCUCUUUCUCUCUCUCUAUCUCUCUAUCUUUCAUCUAUCUAUCUAACUAAGUUUGGCUGGCUGUCUUUCUUUUGAUUUGUCUCUCCAUCUGUCUGUCUGUAUAACCAAAUAAAGUUUUUAAAGACCAUUUCCUUACUAUUUUCAUUCCCUUGUAGCCUCCUCAUUCAGACUGCCAGCUCUGCCACCUAGUGUCAUUUUUUUGCAAUUACAUCAAUUACACAUCAACGACACUCAAACGCACCGUAACCUGACCUACUUGAACUAACUAAGCUUUGCUGUUUAGUUUGUUAGAGGGCAGCCAUUUUUUCAGUUGAUGACUGUUACCUUCUGAUGCCAGCACAAUAAAUCAGUUACAGUUACAAUGACGUAAGUGAUGGCAGGUUGGUAGGAACAGACUGUGCAGAUGAAGUGUUUUGAACUCCGAGUGAACUCUGUUGUAGUGAAUAGAAGAGUGCCCCGUAAUGGCGGCACCACGGAGGCCUGGGCAGCAGAAACGGCAGAGCUCCUUCUCUCGUUUGUCUCCAGAGAAUAACACACUGCGGCCAUGCCUGGAGCCCGACCCUAUCUACUGCUCUAUAAAUAACCUGUGUGGGUGUGUUUGUUAUCUCGCUCACUAAAGAUGUGCCUUGAUGAGUUGCUGUGACAUUGUUGAGCUUGUGUUGCAUGUGCACACACACACACACACACACACACACACACACACACACACACACACACACACACACACACACACACACACACACACACACACACACACACACACACACACAGCGCAGUAUAUGAUGCUAUACUGUAUAUCUAUAUCUAUGUUGUGCCUUACCUAUCUCUUGCUUAUCUGUCGAACCAGGAACAGCUCAAUAGCAAGUGACGUCAUGAGAAGACGUGAAUAGACAACCCGCAAACUCUCAAAGCAGUUAUCAACUUCUUAUAUUCAAUCAGAAAUAAUUACUUAUUAUUUUUUAGAGUAGAAAUUUGAAACAAAGAAGAUAAAUAAAUGCUUUAAGGGCAACACAACGUCCCUUUUGUGACUUCGGCUUCCUCACAGGUAGAUUACACAGUGUGUCAGUGUGUGUUUGGUGAUCACACAUUGUGUCAUUUCUUAAGAUGACUUCAGAGAGGCCACAUAGGGCUCUGUGCUGCAGAGCCAGACAGGGAGAAGGCAGUACAGAACAGGAUGCCAGAUGCCAUGCAUUUGAAUGUUGUCACACCAUGGCAACUAAACUAACACUUGUCUUUCAACAAUACAACUGUACACUCAAUCAAGGUCAUUUCAGGAAGUAGCCUCUCUAUCUAAUCUCCUCAGAAUUACAGUUGUCUGUCAUGUAACUGUCAGUGGCGGUAUUCAGUGUUCUUCAACAUUGGUCUCAAAGACUCUUAUAUACCUAGAGGCUGACCUACUUAUUCAGGGGUGGGCGUUUGUUACAGCUUAGUAAAACGGGUCAAGAUUCUUCCAGAAGUAGGAUACUUCUCUUAAUGGGCAAACAGAGGCAGAGGAGUGCGGUGGGAAAAGGAUUAUGAAGUCCAGCCAAUCCAUCAAAUGUGAAAGGCCACAAUGAAAUAGCCCACAAUGCAUUUUGUGCCAAUUUGAAGAAUGUUUUUACAAUUUGCCUUGUCAUCAUUGUGAAUAAUCAGCCCAACUAGCACAGAAUCAAAUGGAUUCCCUUGUUCCCCUGUGAGACAGCAGUACCCAUUGUGUGAACAGGUUUUGGAGCUAUGUGGGGCAAGUGUGGGCUGUGUGGGCCAGGGUCAAGUGCUGCCUCAGGGAUGUACUCAGACUAUGAUGUCACAAUAGUUGAACAGUGACUGUCACGUUCCAAAUAUGGCGAAUUCUGACUCCAGGUCUGCCAGUCAGCAUUCCUCAUCUGGUGAAGAACAAUAGAAAACAAUAUGGCAAAAAAGUAAGAGUCUGUCCUAAAUGUGAUGUCAUGACCUGUUAUAACAGUAAUAAUAACCUCUUAAACUGUAACCUGUAGUAGGUGCUGAUGCAGUGGUAGAAAAAUAGUUCUACUAUUACGGUAGUCAAUACACAGUUGAUGGCAAUGCUCUACAAUAACAGAUAGAUAGUUUUUCAACCUUUACAGUUUAUAGUAUAAAUGAUAAAAAUGAAAAAAAAAAAACUGCUAAUGUCUGUUGGACUAAUCGUAUUUGUGGGUUUCCUGAGGAUAAUUUGACAAAUAACAAAUGACUUGUCUUGCCUUCUAUGCUGAGGUUGUAUGAGAAACUUUGUGUAACUACAAGUUCUGUUGUAGCAAUGCUGCGGAGAGCAAGUUCUUCAAGGCUUUCUGUCAGCCUAUCAGCAAUGAUGAGGUCAUUAGUCCUCUUGUCCAAGAGAUCUGCCAGAGGGCCAAAGGUAGGACAUCAGACUGUAACCAUGGCUACAGACGAGCUUUUCUUCUCUGCCUAUUGUGCCUUUCCUGACCUGUUAAGAAAAGUGAUGUAAAGAGAAAAAGUCGUGAUUGCGGCCCCCUUUGAGAAUUACAAAAGGCAAAUGGGCUUUUCUGAAAGGACCUCUGCAGGGUAGCCAACUGAAAAGGCCUUCUUGAUGUGAGAUUGAGCCCCCUUUCUGAAGUUGUAGCAUCAGAUGCACCGGUGCACAUAGAACAAGUUGCAGAAGUGCGGCAAAACAUGGACUGAAAUUGUCAGACAAAUUGUCAUUAUAAAUUGGCAAAAGUGAUUAUGCCAAUUUCUAUGAUCCAAGAACAAAGUUUGAGCUCUGGUUGAGUGUUGAAUGAAUGUUCAUAUUAAUGUUUUUUUUGUUUUUUUUAAAUGCUUGUUUAUACCAGUUUUAGAUUCUCAGGAGAUUUGGAACAUUUUGAGGGCAGAGACCAAAUCAAAGCUUGCUCAGCCGACAGUCUCCCAAAAAGUGCUUGCAGCUAUGAAGGUUCUGCUCUCACAAACCACAUCAGAUGACAAAUACCACUAAACAAAAACAAGAAAAGAAAAUUCUUUGAAUCUGCCCUCUCUCAGUUGCCUUGAUCAUUUCAUUCUAUUCCCACUUUCCAUAUCUCUAUCUUUACCUUCUUUCGCUCUUCAUUUUACAUUUCUCUCUCACACUCUUCUGACUCGUCCUAUACUUCCUUUUUUAUGCAUACACUUUCUCUCUAUUUUACUCACUUCUGCCCUCUCUCUUUCUCCACCAUUAUUUCUCUCUUUUUUCUUCCAUUCCAAUCUCUUCCACUCUCCCCUCUCACUCUCCUCUCUCUCCUUUCCAGUUGUUGGACGAGCAUCUGGAGUGUAAACGUGUGACAGAGGAAAAAAAACGCACCAUGUUGCAGAGGUGUCGAGUCAUUCUCAUGUUCAAAGCAUCUGAAUUUAACCUGGACCGCACGACCUUGCUGAUCGCCAACAACCCACUGCAGACUGCCGAUGACCCUGCGGGCACCGACAGCCCUACUAAAUACCUGCAUACCUAUACCCACCCCCCAAUACAGGUGACGGUCUACCUUCCCGCAACAUCCCAACAUGACACACCGUCAGGUGAAAGUCGUGUAGCCUAGAUCAGAUAGAAUGCUAACAGUAAUUAGUUAGCUUGUAAGCCUGUUGCUGGCUUGACAAUAUUGCAUCUGGCUACUAAGCCUUAUGACAUUCUUGGCGGUUGACAUCAGAGGUCUGUGCAAUUACGGUUCAAGUCCAAACUGGGCAGCAAAAUUGCUUGUAUAAGAAUCAUAUUAGGCCUCUAUUAGACCCACACCUAAAUAAAUACAAUGCUGAGCCUACGAAAGAAAGAAGGGAUGGGUGCAAAAAAAAACUAGCUACCCGCUACCAACACCUGAAACAGAGAGGGGUGAAGUGAGAUGGGUAUUCAGAGAGAUGUCAAUCAGUCUACAACUACUUCCUGUGUCAUUCCCAGUGUCAUUACUGUACUCCCUCCCAGUGUCAUUACUGUUGUAAAUCUGUACCAGACCACAAUUACUGAUAUCCUGAUGGCUUGCCAAGGGCUAUGUGGAAAGACAGUGAUGAAUACACUUCAGGAUGUAAAUUACUUUCUUCACACAACGUAGAGUUCAAUCCAAAGCUUUUUGGACUGUGACGUGUUUGUUGAGGUAUUAAUGUAAAAACAGCUGUCCCUUAACUGUUUACCCAGUAUUUAUACGUGUAAACACCCUCUUAUAAAAUCUGAGGGCAAGCACGUUAACUUUGAUGUCAUAGUUUUAUUUUCAUUUCAAAUCUGAUCUGUUGUCUUGGAGCACUGAGCAAAACAUAAGUGAAAAUGAUGUCAAGCUCCAAUACCUUUAGACUGCACUGCACUGUAUAUGACACAUCUCCAUCCUCUCCAGAAGGGGGCACCAGACUUGACCAGCUCUUGCAAACUGCCUCCUCUGAAACGACCUAUAACAUCUAAUUCACCAAGACAGGAAAGAGCGGGCAGGUAUAUCCCAACUAUUCAGUGCAUUCUGUUUUUUCCACAGCCACUAAAGUAACUGUUUCAACAAAAGAAAGUGCUAAAAAUGCUUAAAAAAAAACAACAACAUGCAUAUCGUUAGAGUGCGCAUGAUUAGGGAAAGUUGGUUUGGGGCAAGGACAACGCUAAAAGAGCUAAUGAUUUUUCUGCAGUGUUGUUGUCAAGAGGUAUUGUCAGUGCCUUUCUACGCAAACUGAAGCCAGGAAAAAUAGAUGUGAAAUCACUUGGGGCAUCUAGGUUAGGUAUACGUGGCACAUCUUUAUUUUUUUUUUUUUUUUUUAAAUCUGCCCAGAUAGUUAGGCUACUUCUUUGAGAUGACCAGGAGAGGUCUGUGUUCUAUCUGUCAUGGAAAUGGACUUGAUCAUGUCAUAAUAAACAACUUAGCGCAACUGUUUCAAUACAAGAAAAUCAAUACAUUGGAAAAAGCAUAAACCUUGUUUUAGGAUAGAACAGAUUAUAGGAUUAUUGAUACUUCAGGUAUUUGGCCUUCACUCCAGACACGUUAGAAGAGCCUCAGGUCCAAGCCUAAGUUUAUUGCUGCCUGAAUUCAAUAUCUUACUUUUAACCCACCACUGAUUUUGUUUCACAGACCGUAGUGGGGCCAAAAGUGGAGCUGUCUCUCGAGGAACCAUUGACUAUUUCAGCUCUGAUGAAAAACUCAACCGCAGUGACAGUGCCAGGUCAGGGAAGCUUUCAGGCAUGGCCAGGGCCACAUUCUGAACAUAGACAGCA